This 58-nucleotide transfer RNA is filed under the name Listeria monocytogenes. RNAcentral's name for it is "tRNA-Pro". It matches the Rfam family "tRNA", at positions 8 to 62 of the family's 71-position model. Rfam says of the family: Transfer RNA (tRNA) molecules are approximately 80 nucleotides in length. Their secondary structure includes four short double-helical elements and three loops (D, anti-codon, and T loops). Lineage: Bacteria; Bacillati; Bacillota; Bacilli; Caryophanales; Listeriaceae. The record is from RNAcentral.
UAGCUCAGCUUGGUAGAGCACUUGGUUUGGGACCAAGGGGUCGCAGGUUCGAAUCCUG